Triticum aestivum (bread wheat) is the source of this 3423-nucleotide long non-coding RNA. RefSeq lists it as uncharacterized. The record is from RefSeq and is a predicted model, not a curated record. The transcript has 3 exons. Lineage: Eukaryota; Viridiplantae; Streptophyta; Magnoliopsida; Poales; Poaceae.
CAGGGCCCGGCUCCUCAGGCGGCAAGGUGCUCCAGCGUGAAGGUGCUCCGGCGUGCCCCUGCUGAUCUCCUGCUCGUGGAACAACUGCAUCAGCAGGAACACAUGCUGCAUCUGGUUUUGGUUCCCCUCCCUCCCACAAUUGCAUCUUCAGAACACCUGCAUCACACACAUACACACAGUGCUCAGGGUUCAUAAAAAGGGGAACACCGCACCCCGCACACACCGCCGACCGAAUUCCCACCGUACUGCCUGGGCAGCGGUGUCGCCGUCAUGCGUGGGGAAACCAGCAAUGUACCAAGGUCAAGUGCACCGAGCUCGUCCAUUGUGGUUUAGACCAGCUUUUGCCUUUCCUUGAAUGCUCUUGUUCAUAUUUAUGCAUGUUUCCUGAUUCCCCUUUUCUCAUCUGUGAUGUGAUGCUCAUACGAAAAGGAAGAGUAAGAAGAAAUCUAUGAAAGAUGGUAAAUUGGCAAUAGAAGAACAUGUAGGUGUAGAAGCUGGUUGAUGCUGGCACUUGGACUCUUAUCUCAGAGUAAAUUAGCUUCAGAUAUCAGAAUAGUACUGGUUCAGAAAUCAGAAUAACUACUAUCUGGGUGCAACUUGCUGGCAGGGCAGUUAAAUUAGAUAUCUUAUUUUUCAUUGUAUCUUGCUUAUUACUUUUACAAAUUAGUGUUCAAGACAAUCUUCUGUUGUUGCAUUCCAGCAAGUUAGCUUACAGCCGAAGAUAGUUUAUCCAAUCCAAAUGAUGUAGGUCGAACAAAACUUAUGGCUGGGGUAAAAAUAUUUGUGGUGAUCAGCAUCUUCCUCUCGCUUCGCUGUUAAGAUGUCGACGCGGCGCUACGCAACGAAUGAUUUAUACUACUACCAUGUUUUUUAUGUUGGGUCUGAGAAACUAGAGAAUUCAUGCCUCUUUGCCAUGCCAAGAGUAUUCUAGGGAUUUCUUAUGAAUAUACUGUAUGUAAUAUGGGAUGGCUAUUUUCAUUAAGAGAUCAAUUUUUAUGCAGGUUUAUCUACACUCUUCUCAGCCUGGGAAUUAUCAUGUGCUUGCUGACCUGCUCGGGCCACAUCGCCGCUGAAACUGCAAACAGCCCCUGCCUGUCUUGUCACGUGAUCUUUGUAUUCUUGCUUGUGAUACUGGAAGCUGCAAUCGCCGCCGGUGUAUUUCUGAAUAGCUACUGGGAGGAGGACAAAUCCCACCAGACUUGGCUCUAAUUGAAGUUAUCAUAAGAGUAAGCAAUCAUCACUUGUUGUUCUGUUUUCUGAUUCUAUAGAGAAAGCUCAAAAUUUGCAGUGUAAGAUCAAACUUUUGCUCGCAGAAUAUUGAAUGUGCGCUAAAAAGUAUGUAGAUUUACUCAUGAGGGCAGAAUCCUGUGAAUUUCUUUUGAAUCGAUUGCUCAAUUAGGAAUAAUAACAUACAUGAUUUACGCAUGUGUGGACUUGGAACUUAUGGUCCUUUUGUUUGCGAACUAUUGUUGCAUAUGUACGCAUGUGUGGACUUUCGUUGGAUAUAUAUUGCUUGCUGGAUCUAUAUAUUGCUCGAUAUAUAUUGUUGGUCAUUUUGCUUGCUGGAUAUAUAUUGUUGGUCAUUUUGUUUGCUGGAUCAAUAUAUUGCUGGAUAUAUAUUGUUGGUCAUUUUGCUUGCUGGAUCGAUCAAUAUAUUGCUGGAUAUAUAAGCCAUCUUGCUGCUGCUCGCUGAAGCAUGCAGGAAAAAAAAAUGCUAUUUGGCAUAUAAACCGUGUGUCCCAGGGACAUGGCACCCGGCUUAUAGGCAUAUUAUGCCACGGGGAGCUGUAUAAGCCGAGUGUUCCUGAUGCAGGCACCCGGCUUAUAGGAUAUGUUUAACAGUGGAUGUCCUAUAAGCCGUGUACAAAGGCACCCGGCUUAUAUUUAAACCGUGCAGCUCGUGCGGACACAAGGUUUAUAUUUAAACCGUGUGGCUCCCUUAGCUAGGCACUCGGUUUAUGUUUAAACCGUGUAGUGCUCGUGGGCACUCGGUUUAUAUAUAAACCGUGUGGCUCAUGUAGGCACUCGGUUUAUAUUUAAAUCAUGCGGCUCUAUUAGGCACUCGGUUUAUAUUUAAACCGUGUAGCGCUCGAGGGCACUCGGUUUAUACUGACGAUAACACGUGGCCGUUAUCUCCCGGCUGCCGUCAUGUUACUUUAGUAAGCCGAGAGCCUCGUAUAAACACACGGCUUUUAAGUAAACCGAGUGUUUUCCCACUGGCACUCGGCUUAUAGCGUAUAAGCCGAUCAAGUGUAAACCGUGUCAUAUAAGCCGGGAGUUUGACUCGGCUUAUAUAUAAACCGAGUUUAUAUCGACAUAAGCCGAGUUCUUUGGGUACACGGCUUUAAAGUUUUUUCCUGUAGUGUCUCCAGCCAAUUCGCUAGUUGGUACUACUUGUUGAUCAUGCCAAGAACUUCAUUAUUUUUCUUCUCACCAAAAUCGGUCAACAGUCGACAGCGCGGCGCUAUAAAACUCCAUGAUAUAUAAAACUCCACAAGCUUGAAAGCUAUACGCCAUGCAUGUAAUCUCUCUCAACUAUCUCCAACAUAUGGAUCGGAAGGAGUACCUCAUUAAGAGCUUCAUACUAGAAGCACAUAUCCUAUGGUAGUACCAUUAUUUCUAAUAGGAAGAUUCCAACACUUGAUAAGACACAUGAGUACCUAAAUAAGUCAUUCCAGCAAUAAAGAAGAUUCCAACACUUGAUAGGAGAUUUCAUUAUUAAGAACAGAUUUCAACACUUAAUAAGACAAUUUCUCAAUAAAAAAUUUCAACACUUAAACAUACCUACAAGAAGAGAUAUUUUUAUGCUUCUUAUAUUCAUGGAUAUUAUUUUGUUGAUAUGAUUACUUCAUCGUUUCUCAAUAUUUAUACCGUCAAAUAGGUUACAUGAUACACAUGUUGGGUAGCAUUUCACAUAAAAAAAUCUAUUUUUAUCAUUUACCUACUCGAGUACGAGCAAGAAUUAAGUUUGGGGAUGCUUGAUACGUCUUCAACGUAUCUAUAAUUUAUUAUUCGAUGCUAUUAUAUUAUCAAUCUUGGAUGUUUUAUAUGCUAUUAUAUAUUAUUUUUUGGGACUAACCUAUUAACCCAGUGCCUAGUGUCAGUUGCUGUUUUUUUUUGCCUAUUUUUGAUUUUCUAGAAAAUCAGCAGCAAACUGAGUCCAAAUGCUAUGAAACUUCGUGAUAAUUUUUUUCUGGACAAGAGAGAUCCUAGAAGCUUCAGGAUGAGACCAGAAGGCAAACGAGGAGACAACAAGGCAACAGGGCGCGCCCUGGGCGAACGAACUUCAUGAGUUGCAUGAACUCAAUUUGAGAUGAAUCCAAAACCAUAUGUGAGAGUAAACAUUGUGCUGGCAAGUGGCAACACGUGAGCUCAGUGGCGGAGCCAGGAAUAAAGCAAACCUCGGACCUAGUUUUUUUUCAA